Molecule: long non-coding RNA, 1068 nt
Organism: Phacochoerus africanus (Common warthog)
Lineage: Eukaryota; Metazoa; Chordata; Mammalia; Artiodactyla; Suidae
Exons: 3
Source: RefSeq, a predicted model, not a curated record
AGUGUGUUCCACUUGGUCUGGGUUUUGAAAUAAACAUCCUCAAGCCUAUAUUCUGGCUGGAUCUUUCACCCCUAGUUCUGUGCGUGCCAGAGAUGCCAGCAUCAAAUAAGAAUGAGGAACUGUUUUCCAUGGAAGCUAAAAGAAUUGGUGACAGAGAAGCCCUGCACCCCGGUAGAGACCCGGAGUCAAGUUUCAAAGCCUCACCUGGUAGCAAGAGGAGCCCAGCGGACGUCUCACAAGAGGGUGUCCCUGCCCACUGGGUCAUCAUGCCUGGCACUGGAAUAGAAAGCUAAGCCCAACAGCUGUGGGCCCUGACUUCCUGAUGCUUACAGUCAGGUCAGUUGUAAGUGAUUUAUGAAAACCUUUCAAAGGUCGCUAUCCAUCCUUAAAAUACAUCAAUCUUCUGCAGCAACUCUCUGCUUUGAAGAAAGAAACUUUCUGUUCCACAAACACGUUAGACAAGAAUGUGGUUGAUCAACAGGGCAUAGGAUUCUUGAAAUCAACAUUUAUUCCCAUGGCAUCACCUGAGGCAGCCGGCACACUUCUGGUUCCGAUUAAAACUACUGCAACAACAAUGGAUGGAUCUACAGGAAUCCUUUGUUCUUAAAUUAAUUUAAAUAAAUCCUGGAAUAACAAACGGUACUGAACUUUCUCACAUGUGCCCUCGAUGGCAUGACAUUCUAAUAGGAAUAUGUGUUGGUCUUAAUAAAAAUGGAUGAUCCAGGGACAGAUACCCAGCCCACUGGCAUCUCAAACCUCCAUUUUAACCCUGUAGUUUUAAGUAGACAACAUGAUCCUAAUGUUCUGUCAUUUGGAAUAAGGUUUCAGACAGUUUUAAAUACAUUUUUAUAAGGCUCAAAUCUCUUCAUUACAUGAAGCGCUACAGCAAUUACUUGCCAGACACAAUAUUUUCUUAAAUCAUACACAUAGUGAAAAUAUAUAUAUACAUUACAAAAAUAAAAUUCAUGUUGACUUAUCAUUCCUAAAAUAACUUUCUCUACUCAUAUCCAUUUAUCUCUAGACAAACAGUCAUUGCAAAUAUGAUUUGCCAAGGAUUUGAAUCUAUGU